RNAcentral lists this transfer RNA (80 nucleotides) under Dicranum scoparium. RNAcentral's name for it is "partial tRNA-Leu". It matches the Rfam family "tRNA". Rfam says of the family: Transfer RNA (tRNA) molecules are approximately 80 nucleotides in length. Their secondary structure includes four short double-helical elements and three loops (D, anti-codon, and T loops). Lineage: Eukaryota; Viridiplantae; Streptophyta; Bryopsida; Dicranales; Dicranaceae. The record is from RNAcentral.
UUUUUCGAAAUGGGUAGACGCUACGGACUUAAAAUCCGUUGGCUUUAUUGACCGUGAGGGUUCAAGUCCCUCUACCCCCA